CUCCUGGAAAGAAGAGGAACGGUUCUAUACGACAUAUGAACUACUCUACUCUUGACCGAAAGUAGUAAUAGGUGCCCAGCCAGAAGAGCAGGGUGCAGGAAGGAAGUAUAAAGGUGCUAUACGAAAUUGUAGAGAAGCAAAUGCCAACAGAGCCAAUGAACCAUUGACGCAGAGAGAUUGAAAUACGUUCAUGCAGUAAUUCUUGUUGCUGAUUCUUCAUCUAAUUAUGCAAUUAUUUUUGCUCUAGCUGAUUCGUCAUUUAAUUAUUGGGUUCCGUGCCUUAUCAAGUAUUAACUUUAUGUAUGUUAGGGAGAUUACUCUGGUAAAUUAAAGUAUCAUUGUCCAUAAAUGAAAAUAAAUAGUAAUGUCAAGAUCAAUCUCACGAGCUGUAACUGGAACAACCCCACCAACACAUAAGAAGUGACCCUUUUCAACUCUUUUGUCUUUGUCAAAACUCUGUAGCACAUCAUAGCAUAGUAAACAUCCUUUACGUAUGCCAUUCCGUCUCUGUUAAGGUUUGUUCAUUUGAUAGGACAUAUCCCUGAUGAGUGAAGUGAAUGUAUAUUUGUCGUGUCCAUUAAAG
Molecule: small RNA, 583 nt
Filed under: Vigna angularis var. angularis
Lineage: Eukaryota; Viridiplantae; Streptophyta; Magnoliopsida; Fabales; Fabaceae
Description: Non-protein coding transcript
Source: RNAcentral